Molecule: unclassified non-coding RNA, 220 nt
Filed under: uncultured Actinomycetes bacterium
Lineage: Bacteria; Bacillati; Actinomycetota; Actinomycetes
Description: uncultured actinobacterium contains 16S-23S intergenic spacer region
Source: RNAcentral
UCCGGUUUGGCACCGGCAGUCUCCCUAGAGUUCCCGGCAUCACCCGCUGGCAACUAAGGACAGGGGUUGCGCUCGUUGCGCCACUUAAGGCAACACCUCACGGCACGAGCUGACGACAGCCAUGCACCACCUGUGCAGGCUCCGAAGAGCACCCGCUUUCACGGGUUUCACCCUGCAUGUCAAGCCCAGGUAAGGUGGGGAUGACGUUAGCCUAUCGAGA